UACAGAGGGUGCGAGCGUUAAUCGGAAUUACUGGGCGUAAAGCGCGCGUAGGCGGCUUUGCAAGUCGGGUGUGAAAUCCUCAGGCUUAACCUGGGAACUGCAUUCGAGACUGCGUUGCUAGAGUAUGGGAGAGGGAGGUGGAAUUUCCGGUGUAGCGGUGAAAUGCGUAGAGAUCGGAAGGAACAUCAGUGGCGAAAGCGACUUCCUGGACCAAUACUGACGAUCAUGUGCGAAAGAGUGGGGAGCAAACAGG
This 253-nucleotide ribosomal RNA is filed under the name uncultured bacterium. RNAcentral describes it as "partial 16S ribosomal RNA". It matches the Rfam family "Bacterial small subunit ribosomal RNA", at positions 524 to 776 of the family's 1533-position model. The record is from RNAcentral.